CGACUUUUCGUUGUUUAUAAGUUGAAUAGACUCACACCAAGGAAAACAAAAAAACAACUUCACAUUUUUAGGUCAGGAUCCUGACCAGCAAAAUGUUUUAAUCAGAAUCAACACGGAAUCGCUGGAGUGCUUUCGAGUGUGAGCCUGCCUCCUUAAUUAGCAUAAUUCAGGCCUACUUUUACUCCUCCUCUGCUCCACUUUGCAUUUCAUUGUGGGGAGAAGAUGGCCUACUCUUCAAUCUGCACUAAAAAAAGAAUCCAGGGAAAUUCCUUUUUUUUUUUUUACUUGCUGCGGAAGAGCUUAGUAUGAUUUUUUUUUUCCCCCAAUCAAUUUUGAUACCUCAGUAGAUGGAUGGAAGUCUGGACUGAGUACUACAUAAAUCUCUGAGCACAUUUUGUCAAGUACAACACUACAGUUACCCUCCCUGUAAUCAGGCGUACACAAGGUGACACGCGGCCAAUGAAGCGCAUAAUCUGGAGUCAGCAAAGGCAAGUGGCAGAAGGAACAUGUCUUCUCUUUAUCCUCCCUCCCUGUCAGUGUUUUUCUCCCUGGCCCCUUCUGUGCUUUCCCUUCCCUCUGUCUGCUUGUCACUAGGUAACUUUUCCCUUUUCCCUUCUUCUGUCUGUAUCUCCGAGCACCUCUAGCCUCCCUGUCUGGCUCCGACAAAGUCUCUGAUCUCGCCGGGGCCUCGCGGAGAGGCUGACAUUGACGUUGCCUGGCUUUUCUCUGCCCAUUAAUGUCUUAAGUCUUACCCGGGCUAUGCGGCGCAUUCUCGACUAAGACAUCACCCCCACCCCCCGUGCUGCGCUCUUUAAUGACAAGCGUGGACAUCUCCAAACUCAGGAAAUCUCAUAUGGGCCGGAUCUCGAAAUUUUCCGAGAAUCAGAAACAUUAACACUCAAGUUUCACGCUGCCAUUUUGUUUCCCUGACGGAUCAUAUGGAAAGUUGUUUUUAGGGGUCAGUUUAUUCCCAGGCUUGGCCUCACUCCAAAAAAUAAAAACAG
Long non-coding RNA from Hippocampus comes (tiger tail seahorse), 1004 nucleotides. RefSeq lists it as uncharacterized. NCBI's taxonomy places the organism in Eukaryota, Metazoa, Chordata, Actinopteri, Syngnathiformes, Syngnathidae. The record is from RefSeq and is a predicted model, not a curated record. The transcript is spliced from 3 exons.